Molecule: non-coding RNA, 21 nt
Filed under: Caenorhabditis elegans
Lineage: Eukaryota; Metazoa; Nematoda; Chromadorea; Rhabditida; Rhabditidae
Source: RNAcentral
UAAACGCUCAAAAUCACCAAA